UAAUGCNAGUCGAGCGGUAACAGAAAGUAGCUUGCUACUUUGCUGACGAGCGGCGGACGGGUGAGUAAUGCUUGGGAACAUGCCUUGAGGUGGGGGACAACAGUUGGAAACGACUGCUAAUACCGCAUAAUGUCUACGGACCAAAGGGGGCUUCNGCUCUCGCCUUUANAUUGGCCCAAGUGGGAUUANCUANUUGGUGAGGUAAUGGCUCACCAAGGCGACGAUCCCUAGCUGGUUUGAGAGGAUGAUCANCCACACUGGGACUGAGACACGGCCCAGACUCCUACNGGAGGCAGCNUUGGGGAAUAUUGCACAAUGGGCGCAAGCCUGAUG
This 333-nucleotide ribosomal RNA is filed under the name Pseudoalteromonas sp. Its description in RNAcentral is "partial 16S ribosomal RNA". It matches the Rfam family "Bacterial small subunit ribosomal RNA", at positions 53 to 388 of the family's 1533-position model. The record is from RNAcentral. Lineage: Bacteria; Pseudomonadati; Pseudomonadota; Gammaproteobacteria; Alteromonadales; Pseudoalteromonadaceae.